Molecule: ribosomal RNA, 105 nt
Filed under: Paraclostridium sordellii
Lineage: Bacteria; Bacillati; Bacillota; Clostridia; Peptostreptococcales; Peptostreptococcaceae
Also listed under: 2 other names
Source: RNAcentral
UUAUUAUAGCAAAGAGGAUACACCUGUUCCCAUUCCGAACACAGAAGUUAAGCUCUUUAGCGCCGAUGGUACUUGGUGGGAAGCUGCCUGGGAGAGUAGGACGUA